Molecule: ribosomal RNA, 253 nt
Filed under: uncultured bacterium
Lineage: Bacteria
Description: partial 16S ribosomal RNA
Rfam family: Bacterial small subunit ribosomal RNA
Source: RNAcentral
UACGAAGGGGGCUAGCGUUGUUCGGAAUUACUGGGCGUAAAGCGCACGUAGGCGGAUAUUUAAGUCAGGGGUGAAAUCCCGGGGCUCAACCCCGGAACUGCCUUUGAUACUGGGUAUCUCGAGUCCGAGAGAGGUGAGUGGAAUUCCGAGUGUAGAGGUGAAACUCGUAGAUAUUCGGAGGAACACCAGUGGCGAAGGCGGCUCACUGGCUCGGUACUGACGCUGAGGUGCGAAAGCGUGGGGAGCAAACAGG